This 491-nucleotide long non-coding RNA is filed under the name Rattus norvegicus (Norway rat). RNAcentral's name for it is "long non-coding RNA NONRATT026277". Lineage: Eukaryota; Metazoa; Chordata; Mammalia; Rodentia; Muridae. The record is from RNAcentral.
AGCCCCGGGAAAAAGAUUUGAUAAUCACUGAAACCCUGUGGGAGCAGCUUCAAGAAGAUGCUCGGACUCGAGGCAUGAGCAACCGCACUGUGACAUUCAUACCACCUGUACUCCCCAGAACUGGGCAUGAACCUGCCUAAACCAAGAACUGGAAAAGAAGCUUCACGCCUCCAGAUCUCUCUACAUCCCAAAAUAAGAAUCACAGCUCAAAUUCUGGAGAGUAGUCAUCGGAAGCCCAUUCCUACACACCCAAGGAUACAACCCCGUGACCAGCCAGCCUUCUACCCUAGACUCUAAACUUUGUCAUCAUGAAAUGUCUCCAGUGUUUCUUCCAGGGCCUGGCUCAGUUACCUGAUACUCAAAGGCUAUGACAUCAUCCUUGCCAGAACCUAUGGGCAGCGAUUGUGAACUUGGACAUCACCCGAGAGCCAGGCACAUGCUAACUGCCAAGCAAAGAAUCCAGCAGAUAAAAAAUGGAGGAAAUAAAUGUG